This 490-nucleotide ribosomal RNA is filed under the name uncultured bacterium. RNAcentral describes it as "partial 16S ribosomal RNA". It matches the Rfam family "Bacterial small subunit ribosomal RNA", at positions 30 to 507 of the family's 1533-position model. The record is from RNAcentral.
AUUGAACGCUGGCGGCAGGCCUAACACAUGCAAGUCGAACGGUAACAGGAAACAGCUUGCUGUUUCGCUGACGAGUGGCGGACGGGUGAGUAAUGUCUGGGAAACUGCCUGAUGGAGGGGGAUAACUACUGGAAACGGUAGCUAAUACCGCAUAACGUCGCAAGACCAAAGAGGGGGACCCUCGGGCCUCUUGCCAUCGGAUGUGCCCAGAUGGGAUUAGCUUGUUGGUGGGGUAACGGCUCACCAAGGCGACGAUCCCUAGCUGGUCUGAGAGGAUGACCAGCCACACUGGAACUGAGACACGGUCCAGACUCCUACGGGAGGCAGCAGUGGGGAAUAUUGCACAAUGGGCGCAAGCCUGAUGCAGCCAUGCCGCGUGUAUGAAGAAGGCCUUCGGGUUGUAAAGUACUUUCAGCGGGGAGGAAGGGAGUCAAGUUAAUACCUUUGCUCAUUGACGUUACCCGCAGAAGAAGCACCGGCUAACUCCGUG